Zingiber officinale is the source of this 447-nucleotide long non-coding RNA. RefSeq lists it as uncharacterized. The transcript is spliced from 4 exons. The record is from RefSeq and is a predicted model, not a curated record. NCBI's taxonomy places the organism in Eukaryota, Viridiplantae, Streptophyta, Magnoliopsida, Zingiberales, Zingiberaceae.
CUCUCCAGACUGUAAUCAGCCGAGGAGUUGCUGUUCGGCGGAUCUUGCGGCUGAUCACCGAAGGGGCUGCGGCUAGGGCACGGUGAAGGACCAGAUCUCGCGUCGACCCCCAUCCAAUCGUCCACCGAAGCUUGGAGAGGUGCCCUAGUUCGGAUUUGUGCCACUCGAUUCGCCGGCGUGGGUCUUGGAUUCCCUUCCUUGUUGAUUGUUGAUUUGAGGAUCAGAGGAAUCUUCGAUACUCCGCUUCACGGAUUGGAUCGGGUGACAUUUUCUAGAGACGAUCAAUUGAGGAAGCAUUGGGUUGCUGUGGAUCAAUGAUUUAGGUCACGGGAUUGAUUUCCAGUGAGGUUCUUACUUGAUUCCAGCAUCCAGUAGCUGAGAUUGAGGAUUCUGAUUCGAGACAGGCGUCUCGACGUUGACUUCGGAUUUGGGAUUGUACCUUCUAUU